RNAcentral lists this long non-coding RNA (575 nucleotides) under Piliocolobus tephrosceles (Ugandan red Colobus). RNAcentral describes it as "lncRNA (ENSPTEG00000017621.1)". The record is from RNAcentral. Lineage: Eukaryota; Metazoa; Chordata; Mammalia; Primates; Cercopithecidae.
ACUUAAGUACAACAGAUCAAAUGAAAGAUCUCUUAUUUGAUAGCUCUGAAAACGACUUAAAAUCAAAUAACAAAAAAACGUCCUCUAGAAAAAGAACCCUAAUAACUAUUCCUAAGUUCAAAAAAUUAAAAAAAAAAAAUGAGCUAAAUAUAUUUUCAAGCCCAAAUAAAAUAAAUGACGAGUUAAAUAAAGAAAAGAAUUUUUCUGAUUCUAUUCUAAGUUCUUAUAAAUUAUUUUUAACCGAAAAACAAAAUGAAAAUAAAAUAGAAAAAGAACAGAUAAAUGAUGAGACUUUUUCUGACAUACAAAAUAUAUCAAAAGAAAAUUCCGAUAUCGAAACAGAACUAAAUCUAAAUAAAACUGGCAGUGUAUCUUUGAUAAACUCUAAAUCAAAUAAGAGUUUUAUUGACAGCCAUAAAAAGGCAUUAGAAAAUUUCCAAAAGGAUGAUGCAAAUUUUGAAUGUACAUAUAAUUGUAAAAGCGAAAAAGGACAAAAAAGUUCUAACUUAAGCACAAAAAUUAAUGAUUUAAAUGUUGAACAAUGUCAACUGGUUAGCACAUUGUUUAAUGCCUAA